Long non-coding RNA from Sebastes umbrosus (honeycomb rockfish), 230 nucleotides. RefSeq lists it as uncharacterized. Lineage: Eukaryota; Metazoa; Chordata; Actinopteri; Perciformes; Sebastidae. The record is from RefSeq and is a predicted model, not a curated record. The transcript has 3 exons.
CUUCCUGUUUGUCAGUCGGACCUUUGAUUGGGAGGCACCGGAGCGCGUGCUUCAAACAGCUCGGAGUCCAGUGUUGUCCCACCUGUCGUCGUCUCUUCAGGGCCUGUGGACCAUCCGAGCCUUUGGAGCAGAGGAGAGGUUCCAGAAAGCCUUCGAUGCCCAGCAGGACCUGCACUCAGAGGCCUGGUUCCUGUUGCUGACCACCUCUCGCUAGUUUGCUGUCCGUCUCC